Molecule: unclassified non-coding RNA, 327 nt
Filed under: soil metagenome
Description: partial contains 5.8S ribosomal RNA, internal transcribed spacer 2, and large subunit ribosomal RNA
Rfam family: 5.8S ribosomal RNA (bases 1-120)
Source: RNAcentral
GAUGAAGAACGCAGCGAAAUGCGAUAAGUAAUGUGAAUUGCAGAAUUCAGUGAAUCAUCGAAUCUUUGAACGCACAUUGCGCCCCUUGGUAUUCCGAGGGGCAUGCCCGUUCGAGCGUCAUUAUACCCCUCAAGCCUAGCUUGGUGUUGGGGCCUGCUGUUACCGGCAGCCCUUAAAAUCAGUGGCGGUGCCAUCUGGCUCUAAGCGUAGUAAUACUUCUCGCUACAGGGUCCCGGUGGAUGCUUGCCAUCAACCCCUAAUUUUCUAUGGUUGACCUCGGAUCGGGUAGGGAUACCCGCUGAACUUAAGCAUAUCAAUAAGCGGAGG